ACACAGUAACAGAGGGAUUGAGGGCCCUGCUCAGUGAGUUUACAUGUUAGAGGGAGUGGGGUAUAGUGACAGUAACAGAGGGAUUGAGGGCCCUGCUCAGUGAGUUUACAUGUUAGAGGGAGUGGGGUAUAGUGACAGUAACAGAGGGAUUGAGGGCCCUGCUCAGUGAGUUUACAUACUAGAGGGAGUGGGGUAUAGUGACAGUAACAGAGGGAUUGAGGGCCCUGCUCAGUGAGUUUACAUGCUAGAGGGAGUGGGGUAUAGUGACACAGUAACAGAGGGAUUGAGGGUCCUGCUCAGUGAGUUUACAUGUUAGAGGGAGUGGG
Non-coding RNA from Pelobates cultripes (western spadefoot toad), 326 nucleotides. The record is from the annotation of a GenBank genome assembly. NCBI's taxonomy places the organism in Eukaryota, Metazoa, Chordata, Amphibia, Anura, Pelobatidae.